AGCUUUGUGCAGUGGCAGUAUUGUAGCCAAAGAGGUUUAUCUGAGGUGUGAUUAUUGCUAAUUGAAAACUUUUCCUCAUGAAUGAACUUCCAUUCACAAUUGCCUCAAAGAGAAUAAAAUACUUAGAACUACAAACUCAUGGUGAUGUA
Molecule: small nuclear RNA, 149 nt
Filed under: Papio anubis (olive baboon)
Lineage: Eukaryota; Metazoa; Chordata; Mammalia; Primates; Cercopithecidae
Description: U4 spliceosomal RNA (ENSPANG00000002358.3)
Rfam family: U4 spliceosomal RNA (bases 1-82)
About the family: U4 small nuclear RNA (U4 snRNA) is a component of the major U2-dependent spliceosome. The structure of U4 snRNA from yeast and human has been reported.
Source: Rfam by way of RNAcentral